ACCCAAUCCCAGUACACCGUUUGCAAUAGAUUGUCAGUUGGUGGUGGCGGUAGUUAUCGAAAACUUAAGUUUCUUAGUUUGCGGUUGAUUGGAUAAAUGGGAAACAAUAAAUUUUGAACUGCCCCAGGGUGCUCGUCAUCCAGUAGGCCGACAGGUUUGAAGCUCUUCAGCUUUCCCAGGGAUUCAGCGAGCAGGAAGAGUUGGGAUAUCCUGG
Cryptotermes secundus is the source of this 214-nucleotide long non-coding RNA. RefSeq lists it as uncharacterized. The record is from RefSeq and is a predicted model, not a curated record. The transcript has 3 exons. NCBI's taxonomy places the organism in Eukaryota, Metazoa, Arthropoda, Insecta, Blattodea, Kalotermitidae.